GUGGGUGCAUGCAUAUGUAUGUGAGUGUGUGUGUUUGUGGGUGUAACCAAGUUGCUCAUAGAGUUGAGAGGAGAGAAAAUGUAGUGCAUGAUGCAGAAAGGAAGAACGAGUUGCCGGACAAUUUUUGUUCCUUUUUUAAUAUUAAGAUGGCUUGACUCGGCCUAUUAUUUCAAGCAGUCAGCGGUAAACAAUUCGAUCAAGUUGCAUAUAUCGAAUUGGCCCUUGAUUGUUCUUCUAAAUCUCAUGACUAUAACAAGUGACGCCUGCAUUAUAACAUGAAGCACAUUAUAGAAGGCUACAGCUUGCAGGGUCUGGCAUAAAGACUCACAUAGUGCUACGAACUUGGACCCUGGUACUACAUCCCUUAAGACAAGUCUCCAAACGAUAUAGCAUAGACUAUAUGGAGACAUGCAGUCACUUGCAUCAAUUAUCAUGGUG
RNAcentral lists this long non-coding RNA (438 nucleotides) under Elaeis guineensis (African oil palm). RNAcentral describes it as "long non-coding RNA (EGUI_LNC048770)". Lineage: Eukaryota; Viridiplantae; Streptophyta; Magnoliopsida; Arecales; Arecaceae. The record is from RNAcentral.